AACUCCGUGGCCUAAUGGAUUAGGCGUCUGACUUCGAAUCAGAAGAUUGCGGGUUCGAGUCCCGUAGGGGUCG
This 73-nucleotide transfer RNA is filed under the name Saccoglossus kowalevskii. RNAcentral describes it as "tRNA-Arg". It matches the Rfam family "tRNA". Rfam says of the family: Transfer RNA (tRNA) molecules are approximately 80 nucleotides in length. Their secondary structure includes four short double-helical elements and three loops (D, anti-codon, and T loops). The record is from RNAcentral. Lineage: Eukaryota; Metazoa; Hemichordata; Enteropneusta; Harrimaniidae.